GAUGAACGCUGGCGGCGUGCCUAAUACAUGCAAGUCGAGCGAACGGACGAGAAGCUUGCUUCUCUGAUGUUAGCGGCGGACGGGUGAGUAACACGUGGAUAACCUACCUAUAAGACUGGGAUAACUUCGGGAAACCGGAGCUAAUACCGGAUAAUAUUUUGAGCCGCAUGGUUCAAAAGUGAAAGACGGUCUUGCUGUCACUUAUAGAUGGAUCCGCGCUGCAUUAGCUAGUUGGUAAGGUAACGGCUUACCAAGGCAACGAUGCAUAGCCGACCUGAGAGGGUGAUCGGCCACACGGGAACUGAGACACGGUCCAGACUCCUACGGGAGGCAGCAGUAGGGAAUCUUCCGCAAUGGGCGAAAGCCUGACGGAGCAACGCCGCGUGAGUGAUGAAGGUCUUCGGAUCGUAAAACUCUGUUAUUAGGGAAGAACAUAUGUGUAAGUAACUGUGCACAUCUUGACGGUACCUAAUCAGAAAGCCACGGCUAACUACGUG
Molecule: ribosomal RNA, 497 nt
Filed under: uncultured bacterium
Lineage: Bacteria
Description: partial 16S ribosomal RNA
Rfam family: Bacterial small subunit ribosomal RNA
Source: RNAcentral